GAUGAACGCUGGCGGCGUGCCUAAUACAUGCAAGUCGAGCGAACGGACGAGAAGCUUGCUUCUCUGAUGUUAGCGGCGGACGGGUGAGUAACACGUGGAUAACCUACCUAUAAGACUGGGAUAACUUCGGGAAACCGGAGCUAAUACCGGAUAAUAUUUUGAACCGCAUGGUUCAAAAGUGAAAGACGGUCUUGCUGUCACUUAUAGAUGGAUCCGCGCUGCAUUAGCUAGUUGGUAAGGUAACGGCUUACCAAGGCAACGAUGCAUAGCCGACCUGAGAGGGUGAUCGGCCACACUGGAACUGAGACACGGUCCAGACUCCUACGGGAGGCAGCAGUAGGGAAUCUUCCGCAAUGGGCGAAAGCCUGACGGAGCAACGCCGCGUGAGUGAUGAAGGUCUUCGGAUCGUAAAACUCUGUUAUUAGGGAAGAACAUAUGUGUAAGUAACUGUGCACAUCUUGACGGUACCUAAUCAGAAAGCCACGGCUAACUACGUGCCAGCAGCCGCGGUAAUACGUAGGUGGCAAGCGUUAUCCGGAAUUAUUGGGCGUAAAGCGCGCGUAGGCGGUUUUUUAAGUCUGAUGUGAAAGCCCACGGCUCAACCGUGGAGGGUCAUUGGAAACUGGAAAACUUGAGUGCAGAAGAGGAAAGUGGAAUUCCAUGUGUAGCGGUGAAAUGCGCAGAGAUAUGGAGGAACACCAGUGGCGAAGGCGACUUUCUGGUCUGUAACUGACGCUGAUGUGCGAAAGCGUGGGGAUCAAACAGGAUUAGAUACCCUGGCAGUCCACGCCGUAAACGAUGAGUGCUAAGUGUUAGGGGGUUUCCGCCCCUUAGUGCUGCAGCUAACGCAUUAAGCACUCCGCCUGGGGAGUACGACCGCAAGGUUGAAACUCAAAGGAAUUGACGGGGACCCGCACAAGCGGUGGAGCAUGUGGUUUAAUUCGAAGCAACGCGAAGAACCUUACCAAAUCUUGACAUCCUUUGACAACUCUAGAGAUAGAGCUUUCCCCUUCGGGGGACAAAGUGACAGGUGGUGCAUGGUUGUCGUCAGCUCGUGUCGUGAGAUGUUGGGUUAAGUCCCGCAACGAGCGCAACCCUUAAGCUUAGUUGCCAUCAUUAAGUUGGGCACUCUAAGUUGACUGCCGGUGACAAACCGGAGGAAGGUGGGGAUGACGUCAAAUCAUCAUGCCCCUUAUGAUUUGGGCUACACACGUGCUACAAUGGACAAUACAAAGGGCAGCGAAACCGCGAGGUCAAGCAAAUCCCAUAAAGUUGUUCUCAGUUCGGAUUGUAGUCUGCAACUCGACUACAUGAAGCUGGAAUCGCUAGUAAUCGUAGAUCAGCAUGCUACGGUGAAUACGUUCCCGGGUCU
RNAcentral lists this ribosomal RNA (1372 nucleotides) under uncultured bacterium. RNAcentral describes it as "bacterial SSU rRNA". It matches the Rfam family "Bacterial small subunit ribosomal RNA", at positions 28 to 1381 of the family's 1533-position model. The record is from RNAcentral.